RNA transcript from Meleagris gallopavo (turkey), 2434 nucleotides. RefSeq lists it as uncharacterized. The record is from RefSeq and is a predicted model, not a curated record. NCBI's taxonomy places the organism in Eukaryota, Metazoa, Chordata, Aves, Galliformes, Phasianidae.
ACGGCGCUGAUUGCGCAUCCCACUUCCGUCACGGACUUCCCUUAAAAACCACAUUAACGCGGCUUUUAUUAUUCUCAUUACUAUUACAGCCGUCAUCUUUAUUUUCACACGCCGAGGCGGCGAUCCCAUCUCUCGGCCGUUAUGUCAAGGGAACAUCAAAGUAUCUUCUGUCGUGGACAAGUCAAAUGAACAUAAAGUAAGCAAACAGCUUGUGAUAGAAAGUGCAAUUGAGUGCCUGGUUAAAGCAUGUCCUGGUGCAGCAGUGGUCCUCAUGUUGCACUACCACAGCAAAGUUAUCUGAAGGAGAGGUUGGAGGAAGAGUGUUGAAGAAGGCUGCUGAGCACCUUCAGGAACUGAUAAAACUGAAGAACAGUUCUCAAACGUUUGUAGGAAAUCAUAAGAAAAGGAAAGGUAACUUAAGAGAAAAUGUGGCUUUGUUAGUUUAUCACAGACAGGUGAUGUGGACGAUGUUUUUCCAAGGUUUGUGUUAAGUUGAGGUUGUACAGUUUGCUGAAAAAGCUUUUGUGCAAUCAUCCUUACCCUAAUUUCUCCUACAGAGAUGAGAUUAGUUUGACUGAAAAGAAUUUUUUUAAUGUUUUUCAUUCAGGCUGUGGGCACAGGAAAAUGUUUCAAAUUAGCAUCCCGCUGGCAGAAGCAGUUGCAAUGUGAAUUCCUUUCUAGCUGGCCUAGCAGCAGUCACCAAGCAGAAACCAACUAGAAUAAAUGCUUCUGCUCCUGAGUGAGCCAGAAGCAGACCUGGGAGCAGGAUUUAGAUGAUAUUCUACACCAGCACAGAAUAAACUUCAUGAGAACGAGAGACAAAUGGGAUCAGUGAAUGAAAAGGGUUAAUAUAAUGGGUAAAGGAAAAAUGGAUCUCCUGGAAAUUCCAUAAUUCAAGCUCUUAGUUUCUUCAGAGCAAGGUGAUAGUUCAGAAUUAUUUGUUUUCAGAAUUUAAAUUGACUGUUAUUAUGUGCAACAGUGGAAAUUAAUUAUGUUGUAGAUGUUGUAGAUUGUCAUUUGAGGUCAGUUAUGCCAUUGGUGGCUUUGAAAGGCUGUUCUGUCCGUCAGCUAUUUGAAAAGGGGAUGCUGCCCUUUUUUUUUUUUUUUCUCCCCACCUUGUUGCUUAUUCAACAAACUGCACAAUUGAUUGCCAGUAGCUGCUGGAAAGUCAAGGCCUGUUUGAAAAAUUUUGAAGGCCGUGUGACUGAAGUUUGUCCUUCCACUAUCAUCUCUACCUGCUGAAUAGCAGAAGAUGCUUCUAUUGUUUACUACACGGGUACCUGAGCCAUGCCUCUCUCUAGAAGAGCCUCUCAUCUAUACAAAACUGGGGGAAUCUGGAACAGUUCCCAGCUUCGAGGAUUUUGUUUCAUGCAUUGAUUGAUAUCAAGUGGUUGUGCUUUACAUUCUUUACCUGCACUAGAGGCAGUCCUCACAGAGAUACCUUCAACAGCCAAAUGCAUUCAUAACCUUUGCAGUGUUCAAAAGGAUUGUAGCAGUAGUUGUGUUCAUGCUUACAUUCAUGAUACAACGUUUACUGAAGAAUAAAUUAAAUUGAUAAAGAUAGGAAAAUGAUAUUCUGGUUGAGUUACUAAACACUUUUAAUUAAGUAUGGAUAUCAUGCACAAGGUAUUAAUAUUGUGACUUUAGGGAAUCAAGUUUCAUAGUCCAGUUUUUCUUGAUAAUGUUAGGCUUGAAACUUCCCAGGAAGAUGAGGGGAGAGUAUGAAUUGUCUAUGUGGAGAACGUUGCAUAUGGAAGCGUUGUGUGAGUUUGCAUACAUUGCAGGCUUGGCAUUAGAGAAUAGCCUUGUUCUUUACCCUCAGCUCCAACUUUGCUUCUCUCAGUUUUUCUCAGUCGAUAAUUGUUUUUGCACCAAUUACAGUGAUAAACUCAGUAGAAGAAAAAUACUCUUGUUAAAUAAAAAAAUUUAAUGGUACUGUGUCCUGCUAAACAUCAAUAUUGCUGAGACUGAGAGACUUUUUUUUUUAAUUACUUACCAGGAUUUUUUAAAUAAGCUGAAAUAAUCCCUAUUUUGUGAAUGUACACACACACACACACACACAUAUAUAUAUAAAGGCAUUUUAUUUUAUGGAAAUUGUUCCAAAAUAUUUACACCUGAGAAAGAUAAAAGCUGUAAAAUAUGUAUUGUUUCAUUUGUAUGUCCUUUAUUUUUUAUGUGUGUUGAACAGUCAUUCUAAAACCAUUAUGCACGAAGGUCUUUAUUCCAGGCAAAGAGAUCUCUUGUGAAGAAAGAAGCAUGUACAGUGUCCAGACCAAGAAUUAUCACAUCACCUCAUGUUUCAUCCCUAAAGGAAUAUGGAAGCUGGAUAAUGCACAAGUUCUUUUCCUUCACCAUUUGCUGUCUGCUUAAUGAAGACAAAGAUUGCCUCGUUUUUGUAAGACAAUAAAUAAAAAGAGCGACAGCUUGAUUUUAA